This 486-nucleotide ribosomal RNA is filed under the name Triticum aestivum (bread wheat). Its description in RNAcentral is "partial small subunit ribosomal RNA". The record is from RNAcentral. Lineage: Eukaryota; Viridiplantae; Streptophyta; Magnoliopsida; Poales; Poaceae.
AUGAUUGAAAAAUUAGAUGCAAAAAGAAAAGGACAAGAUUUAAGAUUCAAAAGAUAUUAUAGUAUAGAUGAUGCCUUACUUUGGGCAAGAAAGGUAUUAGGACCAGAUUAUCAUACUGACCCAAUGGCUAAAGACUAUAUCCAAAUGAGAAGAGGCAUACCUGCUUCACCAACUCCCACAAAGGGGGAGGCAUCAAGCUCAAAAAAUAUAAAGAAGGAAGAGUAUCCAAAAUAUAAGACAUAUCUAGAAUGCCUUCUAAAGGGGCUUGACCCUUUAGACAGCGAAUACAUAGAUCAAGAGAUGGAUAAAAGAUUUGAAGAAUUUUCAAAAAUAGUAAAGAAAGAAUUGAAAGAAGAAAUAUUAAAAGAAUUAAGGCAUGAAAUGGACGAAAAUUUUGAAGAAAUAAAGAAAGAAUGCGAUCAAAAAUAUGAUUUCAAUCUGUUAAACGAUGAUGAUGAUCAUAUGGACAUAGCAGGGCAUGGGUAG